AUUGAACGCUGGCGGCAUGCCUUACACAUGCAAGUCGAACGGUAACAGGUUAAGCUGACGAGUGGCGAACGGGUGAGUAAUGUAUCGGAACGUGCCCAGUCGUGGGGGAUAACUGCUCGAAAGAGCAGCUAAUACCGCAUACGCCCUGAGGGUGAAAGCGGGGGAUCGCAAGACCUCGCGCGAUUGGAGCGGCCGAUAUCAGAUUAGGUAGUUGGUGAGGUAAAGGCUCACCAAGCCGACGAUCUGUAGCUGGUCUGAGAGGACGACCAGCCACACUGGGACUGAGACACGGCCCAGACUCCUACGGGAGGCAGCAGUGGGGAAUUUUGGACAAUGGGCGCAAGCCUGAUCCAGCCAUGCCGCGUGCGGGAAGAAGGCCUUCGGGUUGUAAACCGCUUUUGUCAGGGAAGAAAAGGUUCUGGCUAAUACCUGGGACUCAGGACGGUACCGGAAGAAUAAGCACCGGCUAACUACGU
RNAcentral lists this ribosomal RNA (476 nucleotides) under uncultured bacterium. RNAcentral's name for it is "partial 16S ribosomal RNA". It matches the Rfam family "Bacterial small subunit ribosomal RNA", at positions 30 to 506 of the family's 1533-position model. The record is from RNAcentral.